This is a long non-coding RNA of Daktulosphaira vitifoliae (grape phylloxera), 1118 nucleotides long. RefSeq lists it as uncharacterized. The record is from RefSeq and is a predicted model, not a curated record. Lineage: Eukaryota; Metazoa; Arthropoda; Insecta; Hemiptera; Phylloxeridae. The transcript has 3 exons.
UCAGAAUAUAACACUUGUAACACAAGAUAAAAAAAGACCAAUAAAAAUGAAGCAUUGGCAAUUAAUACAUUUUUUGAUGAUAAAUACCUGUUUGAUAUUUAAUGUAGUUUUAGAUAGCAUCUCUGGCCAGCAGCUCUGCAGAUUGUGAGUACUAUUGUUGAUUUGUGUUCCUUUUUGUAAUUUAGUGUAGUCUUCUUUAUUAUUAUUAUAGUGAUUAUUGAUUGUGAUUUAUUGAACAUAUUAGUUAUCACAAGUUUUAUUUAUUUAUUAUUUAUUUCAUUGUAGGCGUAAGGCCAACGCACAACGGUCAUAAGGACCUUGUGAGUAUAAAAUAGUCAUUAUCGUACGGGUAUUUGUUGUUUUAUAUUAUGGGUAAAUCAUUAAAUAAUUAAACUAUCUUUAAUUUUGUGUUAUCUGUUCAAUGUCAUUUUAAUAAUAAUUAUUAUCUAGUCAAAUUUGUUUAAUUUAGUUACUACGUCUUAUUAUUGAAUUUAUACUAUUAUUCUUUAUAUUGUUCUUUUAAUUAAUUUACAUAAUUUUACACCAUUGUUCUUGGAGUUAUUUUAUACAUAUUGUUUAUUACUAUAAUUACUUUAAAGAAAGAGUUGAGAAUCAUUUAUAAUUGGAAGAAUCAUACUCAUUUGUUAUUGAUUUAUUAAAGUUAUAUAGUUCAUUGUUGUUGUUAUUCUGUUAUAGCCUUAGAGUGCAUAUUUAUAUUGUUGGUUGAGCCAAAAGGGCUAAAUUUAUCUUGUCAAGUCGUUUAUUAAAUUAUUAUUAUUAAUUGUAGUAAAAAGUUUAAAUUAUUUAUUUAUUUAGUUUGAUAGCACACACUUAUAUAAUUACACACUAACACAUCUGUCACUACAUAGAUCACUGGUUGCUGCGCAGGGGACCCCUCCCACCUACAGUGAUUCUAUUUACAUACACCACACUACGCAGCCUGAUCGGUAUUGGUGCAACUAGCCGGUUCGGGUACGCACUAUAAUAUUUAGUGCCCCUGGCCCCAACAUGUACUAUAAUUUAAAAUCAAAAAACUACUAAUCAGGAUAUAAUUAAAGAAAUAAGAGUUAAUCUUGCUUUUGGAAUAAUCCACCAAUUGCCUAUUUAAAAAAACAAAA